This 497-nucleotide ribosomal RNA is filed under the name uncultured bacterium. RNAcentral describes it as "partial 16S ribosomal RNA". It matches the Rfam family "Bacterial small subunit ribosomal RNA", at positions 28 to 507 of the family's 1533-position model. The record is from RNAcentral.
GACGAACGCUGGCGGCGUGCCUAAUACAUGCAAGUCGAACGCUGAAGAGAGGAGCUUGCUCUUCUUGGAUGAGUUGCGAACGGGUGAGUAACGCGUAGGUAACCUGCCUGGUAGCGGGGGAUAACUAUUGGAAACGAUAGCUAAUACCGCAUAAAAUGGAUUAUCGCAUGAUAAUCCAUUGAAAGGUGCAAAUGCAUCACUACCAGAUGGACCUGCGUUGUAUUAGCUAGUUGGUGGGGUAACGGCUCACCAAGGCGACGAUACAUAGCCGACCUGAGAGGGUGAUCGGCCACACUGGGACUGAGACACGGCCCAGACGCCUACGGGAGGCAGCAGUAGGGAAUCUUCGGCAAUGGACGGAAGUCUGACCGAGCAACGCCGCGUGAGUGAAGAAGGUUUUCGGAUCGUAAAGCUCGGUUGUAAGAGAAGAACGAGUGUGAGAGUGGAAAGUUCACACUGUGACGGUAUCUUACCAGAAAGGGACGGCUAACUACGUG